Molecule: RNA transcript, 2429 nt
Organism: Medicago truncatula (barrel medic)
Lineage: Eukaryota; Viridiplantae; Streptophyta; Magnoliopsida; Fabales; Fabaceae
Gene name: 4-coumarate--CoA ligase-like 9
Exons: 8
Source: RefSeq, a predicted model, not a curated record
ACCUUUGCCAAAACAAACUAGGACUCUAUCUUUCCCUUUCCCACCAAAAUCCCAACUACUUUCCGAAACCCAACAAUUUUCCCACCAAUAACAAAGAACCAUCCUAAAUGGAUCCCUUUUCAUUUUCAUAUUAUUAUUCAAUUCACAUGAAAGAACACAUCAUCACCAACUCAAUGGAUCCCAAAACCGGCUUCAAUUCCAUUUCCAAAACCUUCCACAGUCUCAGACCCCCACUCAACCUUCCUCCACCACACGCCAAUAUCUCCGCCGCAACAUACACCUUCUCCCUCCACCACUCUGACUUCAACUCCGACUCAAACACUCUCCUCAUCGACUCAACAACAUCUCACAAACUCUCUUACUCCACCUUCAUCCAACGCUACAAAACCCUCGCGAAAAACCUCACUCUCCGCGGACUCACCAAACACCACACCUCAUUCAUUCUUUCCCCAAACCUCGUUCAGGUUCCAAUCCUCUACUUCGCAUUGCUCUCCAUUGGCGUCGUUGUUUCACCAACAAACCCAAUCUCCACUCCCUCAGAAAUUUCUCAUCUCGUUAACCUCUCUAAACCGGUUAUCGCUUUUACGACGUCGUUUUUAUCUCACAAACUUCCGAAACAACUCGCUUUAGGAACGAUUCUCAUCGACUCGCCCGAGUUCGAAUCCCUCACCACCGAAACAGAUGUUAGUUCGACGGUGUCGCCGCCGGAGGUCAGUCAAUCCGACGUGGCGGUGAUUCUGUACUCGUCAGGAACCACAGGGAAAUCGAAAGGAGUGAUGCUUACUCAUCGCAACUUGACGGCGACGGUGGCGGCAUACAAUGCCGUUAGGAUUCCGACGGCGAAUCCUGCGGUGUGUUUGUUAACAGUGCCGUGUUUUCACGUGUACGGUUUUACGUACCUUUUGAAGGGUGUGGCUAUGAUGGAAACGGUGGUGAUGAUGGAGAGGUUUGAAUUGGGGAAAAUGUUGGGUGCCGUGGAGAGGUUUAGAGUGACUAAUGUUGCGGUGGCGCCGCCCGUGGUGGUGGCGAUGAGUAAAGAGGGAGUGACGGAUGGGUAUGAUUUGUCAUCGUUAAAAACUGUGGCUUGUGGAGGUGCUCCGUUGGGAAAGGAUAACUUUGUUGCUUUCAUGGCAAAGUUCCCUCAUGCAUCUAUUAUCCAGGGAUAUGGUUUAACUGAAUCAACAGCCGGUGUUAUCCGAAUAGUAGGUCCUGAGGAGGCUAGCCGGGGAGGAACUACAGGGAAGCUGGUAUCAGGGAUGGAAGCUAAAAUAGUGAACCCAAACACAGGAGAGGCCAUGUCUCCUGGUGAACAAGGGGAACUUUGGGUUAGAGGACCUCCAAUUAUGAAAGGUUAUGUUGGUGAUCCAGUGGCAACUUCUGUUACUUUAGUGGAUGGAUGGUUGAGAACCGGUGAUAUUUGCUAUUUUGACAAUGAAGGUUUCGUGUAUGUUGUAGACAGGUUGAAAGAAUUGAUCAAAUAUAAAGGCUACCAGGUGGCUCCUGCAGAGCUGGAACAAUUGCUCCAAUCUCACCCAGAGAUAAAAGAUGCUGCAGUUAUCCCAUACCCUGAUGAGGAUGCUGGCCAGAUUCCCCUAGCUUUUGUGAUAAGGCAGCCUCACAGCUCCAUGGGUGAAGCCGAAAUAAUAAAUUUUGUAGCCAAACAGGUUGCACCAUACAAGAAGGUAAGGCGUGUGGUAUUUGUCAAUUCUAUACCAAAGAAUGCAACAGGAAAAAUACUGAGGAAGGACUUGUUGAAUAAAAUUCUUCUCCAACGAACUUUCCCUAGGUUAUAAUAUCUUUCGACGAUAAUAAUGAUGAGAAUAACGACGACAAUUCUAAAGGGAAAAUUUAGAGGUGAGACUAUGGGGGAAAUUGAGGUUGUUUCACUGGAACUUGCAUAGAAUCGUCAAAAAUAGAAAAAUGGUGAUGUCAAUGGAAAUUCUAGAGAGGUAUUAUCUUUCAUAUUUCGUAAAAUAUAAUUGUUGAUGAAGCUACACUGCUUGCAUGGACUUUAUGGAAGCAAAGGAAUAACAUAGUAUGGAAUACUGUGAUUGCUGCUCAAUCUUAUGUUGUUGAACGAUAAUGCUCAUGAUGGUCGAUGGAAGACAUGUUGUCAGAUGGAGUAAGCCAUCAUCAGGAAGGGUAAACUGUAAUAUUAUACUUCUUUUUCCUCCUUUCACAACAUAAUGAUUUUCUCCAUUUAUGAUGUACAUGUUGGAGAAGCUCGUGGCUUACUUUCAACUCUUACUUCUUUUUCCUCCUUCAUUUUUUUAAAGAAAUUUCAUAAGUUUUUCAUUUUCUUAAUUUCCAUUUCAGCAAAGGUAGUGGGUUAUUUUUUUUACUAGUUUUGGAAUUUUUAGGUUAUGCUUGUGUUAGAGGACAAACAAAUAAGAUAGUUUAAUAGUUAAAGUUUCCUUAUCUCACCAUAG